Long non-coding RNA from Ictalurus punctatus (channel catfish), 1312 nucleotides. NCBI's taxonomy places the organism in Eukaryota, Metazoa, Chordata, Actinopteri, Siluriformes, Ictaluridae. The record is from Ensembl.
UUAGGGUUAAAGUGUGUAAGGAGACACAGGAUGAAUGCGAACUACUUUUGUUAUUGUACUUUUGAUGAAAACUGACUUUCUAGACAUAAAAUGUCACUUUUUUCACCUUAUCAUACUUUUUCAUCAACUUUUGCAUUUUAAUGUAAACAAUCAUAUUUCGUAAUAUUUUGGGUCAGAAACAUCUCUUAGUGCUAUAUUAUGUCUAACUAUGUGAAAAAAAUCAAAUUGGAGUAGGUCGGGCAACUGAUUAUAUGAGUUUGUUAGAAAAACCACUUUCCUUUGCUCCUAGCGCCUUCUCGUUCGCUCUAUAGCGUUUUGAGCGGAUAAAGAGCACAAGUGUGUAAGGAGACACAGGAUGAAUGCGAACUACUUUUGUUGAUUUUUUUCACAUAGUUAGACAUAAUAUAGUACUAAGAAAUGUUUCUGACCCAAAUAUUACGAAAUAUGAUUGUUUACAUUAAAAUGCAAAAGUUGAUGAAAAAGUAUGAUAAGGUGAAAAAAGUGACAUUUUAUGUCUAGAAAGUCAGUUUUCAUCAAAAGUACAAUAACAAAAGUAGUUCGCAUGCAUCCUGUGUCUCCUUACACACUUGUGCUCUUUAUCCGCUCAAAACACUAUAGAGCGAACGAGAAGGCGCUAGGAGCAAAGGAAAGUGGUUUUUCUAACAAACUCAUAUAAUCAGUUGCCCGACCUACUCCAAUUUGAUUUUUUUCACAUAGUUAGACAUAAUAUAGUACUAAGAAAUGUUUCUGACCCAAAAUAUUAUGAAAUAUGAUUGUUUACAUUAAAAUGCAAAAGUUGAUGAAAAAGUAUGAUAAGGUGAAAAAAGUGACAUUUUAUGUCUAGAAAGUCAGUUUUCAUCAAAAGUACAAUAACAAAAGUAGUUCGCAUUCAUCCUGUGUCUCCUUACACACUUGUGCUCUUUAUCCGCUCAAAACGCUAUAGAGCAAACGAGAAGGCGCUAGGAGCAAAGGAAAGUGUUUUUUUCUAACAAACUCAUAUAAUCAGUUGCCCGACCUACUCCAAUUUGAUUCUUUUCACAUAUUUAGACAUAAUAUAGUACUAUGAAAUGUUUCUGACCCAAAAUAUUAUGAAAUGCGAUUGUUUACAUUAAAAUGCAAAAGUUGAUGAAAAAGUAUGAUAAGGUGAAAAAAGUGACAUUUUAUGUCUAGAAAGUCACUUUUCAUCAAAAGUACAAUAACAAAUCUAGUUCACAUUCAUCCUGUGUCCCCUUACACACUUGUGCUCUUUAUCCGCUCAAAACGCUAUAGAGCGAACGAGAAGGCGCUAGGAGCAAAGGAAAGUGGUUUUUCU